This 504-nucleotide ribosomal RNA is filed under the name uncultured bacterium. RNAcentral's name for it is "partial 16S ribosomal RNA". It matches the Rfam family "Bacterial small subunit ribosomal RNA", at positions 28 to 523 of the family's 1533-position model. The record is from RNAcentral.
GAUGAACGCUAGCGGCAGGCCUAAUACAUGCAAGUCGAACGGGAUCUGAGGGUAGCUUGCUACCCGAUUUGAGAGUGGGGCACGGGUGCGUAACGCGUGAGCAACCUACCCAUAUCAGGGGGAUAGCCCGAAGAAAUUCGGAUUAACACGGCAUAAUAAUACGCUAACACAUGUUGAUGUAUUUAAAUAUUUAUAGGACAUGGAUGGGCUCGCGUUACAUUAGCUAGUUGGUAAGGUAACGGCUUACCAAGGAGACGAUGUCUAGGGGCUCUGAGAGGAGAAUCCCCCACACUGGUACUGAGACACGGACCAGACUCCUACGGGAGGCAGCAGUAAGGAAUAUUGGUCAAUGGGCGCAAGCCUGAACCAGCCAUGCCGCGUGCAGGAUGACUGCCCUAUGGGUUGUAAACUGCUUUUGUUAGGGAAUAAACCUUCUUACGUGUAAGGAGCUGAAAGUACCUAAAGAAUAAGGAUCGGCUAACUCCGUGCCAGCCGCCGCCGUAA